RNAcentral lists this ribosomal RNA (629 nucleotides) under Apiotrichum gracile. Its description in RNAcentral is "LSU rRNA". It matches the Rfam family "Eukaryotic large subunit ribosomal RNA", at positions 33 to 654 of the family's 3401-position model. Lineage: Eukaryota; Fungi; Basidiomycota; Tremellomycetes; Trichosporonales; Trichosporonaceae. The record is from RNAcentral.
AUUAAGCAUAUCAAUAAGCGGAGGAAAAGAAACUAACAAGGAUUCCCCUAGUAACGGCGAGUGAACCGGGAAGAGCUCAAAUUUGUAAUCUGGCUGUCUUCGAUAGUCCGAGUUGUAAUCUAUAGAAGCGUUUUCCGUGCUGAACUGUGUAUAAGUCCCUUGGAACAGGGUAUCAAAGAGGGUGACAAUCCCGUACUUUACACAAUCAUCAGUGCUCUGUGAUACGUUCUCUACGAGUCGAGUUGUUUGGGAAUGCAGCUCAAAAUGGGUGGUAAAUUCCAUCUAAAGCUAAAUAUUGGCGAGAGACCGAUAGCGAACAAGUACCGUGAGGGAAAGAUGAAAAGCACUUUGGAAAGAGAGUUAAACAGUACGUGAAAUUGUUAAAAGGGAAACGAUUGAAGUCAGUCGUGUUUAUUGGAUUCAGCCGGUCUUCGGUGUACUUCCUUUAAACGGGUCAACAUCAGUUUUGUUCGGUGGAUAAAGAUGCUAGGAAUGUAGCUUCCUCGGAAGUGUUAUAGACUAGUAUUGCAUACACUGGAGGAGACUGAGGACUGCAGCUCGCCUUUUGGCCGGGGUUCGCCCACGUUCGAGCUUAGGAUGUUGACAUAAUGGCUUUAAACGACCCGUCU